This 229-nucleotide long non-coding RNA is filed under the name Nicotiana benthamiana. Its description in RNAcentral is "long non-coding RNA (NBEN_LNC022799)". Lineage: Eukaryota; Viridiplantae; Streptophyta; Magnoliopsida; Solanales; Solanaceae. The record is from RNAcentral.
UCUAAUGUCUGAAAAGUUUAAUACAACAGAAAUAAUAAGGAACAGUACUGCUAACUAAGAUAGAAAGGACGGGGACUCUCUGGCCUGCGGACGCAGUAGUAUACCUCAAGUCUCCAAUAGAAAGCUCCGAACUCAAUGAUGAUACGCCUGACCAGAUGCAUCUGGAUCUGCACAACAAAAGUGUGUGGAAGAGUAGCAUGAGUACACCACAACGGUACGUAGUAAGUGC